CAUGGGAGUUACUGUCAAAAUAUGACAC
RNAcentral lists this non-coding RNA (28 nucleotides) under Homo sapiens (human). Lineage: Eukaryota; Metazoa; Chordata; Mammalia; Primates; Hominidae. The record is from RNAcentral.